GGGGCCGUGGUCAAGCGAUUUUUGGCGCCGGUGUUCGCACCACCGGAGACGCGGGUUUGAAUCCCGCCGGCCCCU
This 75-nucleotide transfer RNA is filed under the name Desulfurellaceae bacterium. RNAcentral describes it as "tRNA-Ala". It matches the Rfam family "tRNA". From Rfam's summary of the family: Transfer RNA (tRNA) molecules are approximately 80 nucleotides in length. Their secondary structure includes four short double-helical elements and three loops (D, anti-codon, and T loops). The record is from RNAcentral. Lineage: Bacteria; Pseudomonadati; Campylobacterota; Desulfurellia; Desulfurellales; Desulfurellaceae.